This 241-nucleotide ribosomal RNA is filed under the name uncultured bacterium. RNAcentral describes it as "partial 16S ribosomal RNA". It matches the Rfam family "Bacterial small subunit ribosomal RNA", at positions 93 to 334 of the family's 1533-position model. The record is from RNAcentral.
AAGCGGCGGACGGGUGAGUAACGCGUGGGUAACCUACCCUGUACACACGGAUAACAUACCGAAAGGUAUGCUAAUACGGGAUAAUAUAUUUGAGAGGCAUCUCUUAAAUAUCAAAGGUGAGCCAGUACAGGAUGGACCCGCGUCUGAUUAGCUAGUUGGUAAGGUAACGGCUUACCAAGGCGACGAUCAGUAGCCGACCUGAGAGGGUGACCGGCCACAUUGGGACUGAGACACGGCCCAA